GAUGAACGCUGGCGGCGUGCCUAAUACAUGCAAGUCGAGCGAACAGACGAGGAGCUUGCUCCUCUGACGUUAGCGGCGGACGGGUGAGUAACACGUGGAUAACCUACCUAUAAGACUGGGAUAACUUCGGGAAACCGGAGCUAAUACCGGAUAAUAUAUUGAACCGCAUGGUUCAAUAGUGAAAGACGGUUUUGCUGUCACUUAUAGAUGGAUCCGCGCCGCAUUAGCGAGUUGGUAAGGUAACGGCUUACCAAGGCGACGAUGCGUAGCCGACCUGAGAGGGUGACCGGCCACACUGGAACUGAGACACGGUCCAGACUCCUACGGGAGGCAGCAGUAGGGAAUCUUCCGCAAUGGGCGAAAGCCUGACGGAGCAACGCCGCGUGAGUGAUGAAGGUCUUCGGAUCGUAAAACUCUGUUAUUAGGGAAGAACAAAUGUGUAAGUAACUAUGCACGUCUUGACGGUACCUAAUCAGAAAGCCACGGCUAACUACGUG
This 497-nucleotide ribosomal RNA is filed under the name uncultured bacterium. RNAcentral's name for it is "partial 16S ribosomal RNA". It matches the Rfam family "Bacterial small subunit ribosomal RNA", at positions 28 to 507 of the family's 1533-position model. The record is from RNAcentral.